This 505-nucleotide ribosomal RNA is filed under the name uncultured bacterium. RNAcentral's name for it is "bacterial SSU rRNA". It matches the Rfam family "Bacterial small subunit ribosomal RNA", at positions 28 to 553 of the family's 1533-position model. The record is from RNAcentral.
GAUAAACGCUGGCGGCGUGCCUUAUGCAUGCAAGUCGAACGAGACCAAGGCUUCGGCCUGAAGUCUAGUGGCGGACGGGUGAGUAACACGUACGUGACCUGUCCGGAAGUGGGGAAUAACCAGCCGAAAGGUUGGCUAAUACCGCAUGUGGUUACUGCUUGGAAGCAGCAAACCAAAGUCGCAAGACGCUUCCGGAGGGGCGUGCGGCCGAUUAGCUAGUUGGUGUGGUAACGGCGCACCAAGGCAUUGAUCGGUAGCUGGUCUGAGAGGACGGUCAGCCACACUGGGACUGAGACACGGCCUAGACUCCUACGGGAGGCAGCAGCAGGGAAUUUGCGCAAUGGGCGAAAGCCUGACGCAGCAACGCCGCGUGAGGGAUGAAGGCUCUUGGGUCGUAAACCUCUUUUGCCGGGGAAGAUAAUGACGGUACCCGGCGAAUAAGCCACGGCUAACUACGUGCCAGCAGCCGCGGUAAUACGUAGGUGGCAAGCGUUGUCCGGAGUUU